UGAAUGCAUUUAUCCAAGUCGCUUUGGAUAAAAGCAUCUGGUAAAUGGCAUAUA
Non-coding RNA from Salmo salar (Atlantic salmon), 54 nucleotides. The record is from Rfam. NCBI's taxonomy places the organism in Eukaryota, Metazoa, Chordata, Actinopteri, Salmoniformes, Salmonidae.